CCUACGGGAGGCAGCAGUAGGGAAUCUUCCACAAUGGGCGAAAGCCUGAUGGAGCAACGCCGCGUGAGUGAUGAAGGCCUUCGGGUUGUAAAACUCUGUCAUUCGGGACGAACCGGAGUCUGAGGAAAUGCAGACUCUCUGACGGUACCGGAGGAGGAAGCCCCGGCUAACUACGUGCCAGCAGCCGCGGUAAUACGUAGGGGGCAAGCGUUGUCCGGAUUCACUGGGCGUAAAGCGCGCGCAGGCGGUGAUGUAAGUCUGAGGUGAAAACCCGAAGCUCAACUUCGGGACUGCCUUGGAUACUGCGUCACUUGAGGAUAGGAGAGGCAAGGGGAAUUCCACGUGUAGCGGUGAAAUGCGUAGAGAUGUGGAGGAACACCUGUGGCGAAGGCGCCUUGCUGGCCUAUUUCUGACGCUGAGGCGCGAAAGCGUGGGGAGCAAACAGGAUUAGAUACCCUGGUAGUCCACGCUGUAAACGAUGAGUGCUAGGUGUAGGUGGGCUCAUACCCAUCUGUGCCGAAGCUAACGCAUUAAGCNCNCGCCGNGGAGACGGUCGCGAGACGAGAACGUACAAGUAGAAGUUAGACGGCGUUGAGGACGUUGCCGACGGACGACGACGAGGGGAGGUAGG
Molecule: ribosomal RNA, 631 nt
Filed under: uncultured bacterium
Lineage: Bacteria
Description: bacterial SSU rRNA
Rfam family: Bacterial small subunit ribosomal RNA (bases 1-543)
Source: RNAcentral